RNAcentral lists this ribosomal RNA (856 nucleotides) under uncultured low G+C Gram-positive bacterium. Its description in RNAcentral is "bacterial SSU rRNA". It matches the Rfam family "Bacterial small subunit ribosomal RNA", at positions 524 to 1381 of the family's 1533-position model. The record is from RNAcentral. Lineage: Bacteria; Bacillati; Bacillota.
UACGUAGGUCCCGAGCGUUGUCCGGAUUGAUUGGGCGUAAAGCGAGCGCAGGCGGGUUAGAUAAGUCUGAAGUUAAAGGCUGUGGCUUAACCAUAGUACGCUUUGGAAACUGUUUAACUUGAGUGCAGAAGGGGAGAGUGGAAUUCCAUGUGUAGCGGUGAAAUGCGUAGAUAUAUGGAGGAACACCGGUGGCGAAAGCGGCUCUCUGGUCUGUAACUGACGCUGAGGCUCGAAAGCGUGGGAGCAAACAGGAUUAGAUACCCUGGUAGUCCACGCCGUAAACGAUGAGUGCUAGGUGUUGGGUCCUUUCCGGGACUCAGUGCCGCAGUUAACGCAUUAAGCACUCCGCCUGGGGAGUACGACCGCAAGGUUGAAACUCAAAGGAAUUGACGGGGGCCCGCACAAGCGGUGGAGCAUGUGGUUUAAUUCGAAGCAACGCGRAGAACCUUACCAGGUCUUGRCAUCCCGGUGCCCGUCCUAGAGAUAGGAUUUUGCUUCGGCACACCGGUGACAGGUGGUGCAUGGUUGUCGUCAGCUCGUGUCGUGAGAUGUUGGGUUAAGUCCCGCAACGAGCGCAACCCUUAUUGUUAGUUGCCAUCAUUAAGUUGGGCACUCUAGCGAGACUGCCGGUAAUAAACCGGAGGAAGGUGGGGAUGACGUCAAAUCAUCAUGCCCCUUAUGACCUGGGCUACACACGUGCUACAAUGGCUGGUACAACGAGUCGCAAGUCGGUGACGGCAAGCUAAUCUCUUAAAGCCAGUCUCAGUWCGGAUUGUAGGCUGCAACUCGCCUACAUGAAGUCGGAAUCGCUAGUAAUCGCGGAUCMGCACGCCGCGGUGAAUACGUUCCCGGGCCU